RNAcentral lists this ribosomal RNA (254 nucleotides) under uncultured bacterium. RNAcentral's name for it is "partial 16S ribosomal RNA". It matches the Rfam family "Bacterial small subunit ribosomal RNA", at positions 524 to 776 of the family's 1533-position model. The record is from RNAcentral.
UACGUAGGGGGGAAGCGUUGUUCGGAUUUACUGGGCGUAAAGGGCGCGUAGGCGGCGCGUAAAGUCGGACAUGAAAUCAUUGGGCUUAACCCAAUGGCUGUGCCCGAUACUUGCGUGCUUAGAGUGCGGGAGAGGCAAUCGGAAUUCUCGGGGUAGCGGUGAAAUGCGUAGAUAUCGAGAGGAACUCCAGUGACGAAGGUGGGUUGCUGGACCGACACUGACGCUGAGGCGCGAAAGCUAGGGGAGCAAACGGG